RNAcentral lists this ribosomal RNA (2374 nucleotides) under bacterium (Candidatus Gribaldobacteria) CG07_land_8_20_14_0_80_33_18. RNAcentral's name for it is "bacterial SSU rRNA". The stretch from base 1 to 885 matches the Rfam family "Bacterial small subunit ribosomal RNA". The record is from RNAcentral. Lineage: Bacteria; Candidatus Gribaldobacteria.
UUUUUUGAGAGUUUGAUCCUAGCUCAGGAUGAACGCUGGCGGCGUGGAUAAGGCAUGCAAGUCGUGCGAGAACGUAACAUUUUGCGCAAGCAAAAUUGUACGUUCUAGCGGCGAACGGGUUAGUAACACGUGGAUUACCAACCUCAGAGACGGGUAUAAUCCCGCGAAAGCGGGACUAAUUCCCGAUAGUUUCUUUUGCUAAAAGCGGAAGAAUAAAAGAGUAAUCUGCUCUGAGAUGGGUCCGCGGCCUAUCAGGUAGUUGGUAAGGUAAUGGCCUACCAAGCCUAUGACGGGUAGGGGGUGUGAGAGCAUGUCCCCCAACAGAGGCACUGAGACACGGGCCUCACUCCUACGGGAGGCAGCAGUCGAGAAUUUUCGGCAAUGGGCGAAAGCCUGACCGAGCGACGCCGCGUGCAGGAAGAAGGUCUUCGGAUUGUAAACUGCUUUUUUUAGGGAACAAUCCCGCUUAGAGCGGGAUGAGAGUACCUAAAGAAUAAAAGGAUCCUAAUUCUGUGCCAGCAGGAGCGGUAAUACAGAAUCCUUAAGCGUUAUCCGGAAUUACUGGGCGUAAAAGGUUCGUAGGUGGUCUACUAAGUCUAAUGUUAAAGACCUUUGGCUUAACCUAAGGAAAGCAUUGGAAACUAGUAGACUAGAGAGCGUUAGAGGCCAGUGGAACACACGGUGUAGGGGUGAAAUCCGUUGAUAUCGUGUGGAACACCAAAAGCGAAGGCAACUGGCUGGGACGACUCUGACACUGAGGAACGAAAGCGUGGGGAGCAAAAAGGAUUAGAUAAAUCCUUGUCUGUAAAAUAAACAGACUAAAUGGUGUCCUCCAUAUUGGCGACAAUAUGGUGAGCAUCCAGCUGUAUCGGGGAAACCCAUUUUAGUUUAAUGGGUAAUCCCGAGGGAAGCGAGCACAUAAAGCAUUAUGUGUUUCGCCCCGUAGAGACUAUGUAAAUCAAAAAGAUAGAAAAUGAAAAAUUCAUUUUUGUCUAAAAAUUGCAAAGAUAUUAUUCUUGGUUCUUUGUUAGGAGACGGUUCGUUAAAGAUUAACGAAUAUUAUAAAAAUGCUCGUUUUUCUUUUCGCCAUUCUAUUAACCAAAAAGAAUAUUUUUUCUGGAAAAAGAAUGAAUUAAAAGAAAUUUCCGGAGAAAAUUGUUUUUGGAAAUCAGAAAUUAAAGAUGGGCUUGGCGGUCAAAAAUUACGAUAUCAAAGCUUAACAACACCAGAAUUAACAGAGUUAUAUAAUUUAACUCAUAAAAAGGGAGUAUUUAAAAUCAGCCGCAAAUGGCUUAACAUAAUAACUUCUUUAUCUUUAGCAAUAUGGUGGCUUGACGAUGGUUCCAUAAUAGGGAAUGGGAGAAAGGGCGUAUUUUGCACUGACCAUUUUCUUUACGAAGAACAAAAAAUAUUAUCCCGCUAUUUAAAGAAAGUGUGGGAUAUAAAUGUCCAUAUCGGUAAAAUAACUAGAAAAUGGGCGGACGAAGAAAAAAUAUAUUAUCGUUUAUGGAUUCGUUCAAGCGAAGAGCUUAAAAAGUUUUUGCGGAUUAUAAUGCCGCAUAUAAAAGUAGCAGAAAUGUUACCGAAGGUCUUGAUUAUUUAUAAAGACCGUGAUUUACAACAACGCUGGAUUUCUGAAGUAAAUAAAUUAACAGGUUUUUCUUUCCCAGUUAUUGAAAAAUAUCUUAAUGAAAAGAAAAGUAAGUGGAAAAACUUCAGAAAAUGAUAUAGUCCGAUCCUUCGAGUAAUCGAAGAAAUAAAAGUCUACAAGCUGACCCUUGUAGUCCACGCCCUAAACUAUGGACGCUAGCUAUUGGAAGUGUCGACCCUUUCAGUGGCGAAGCUAACGCGUUAAGCGUCCUGCCUGGGAAGUACGGUCGCAAGACUAAAACUCAAAGGAAUAGACGGGGGCUCACACAAGCGGUGGACCACGUGGCUUAAUUCGACGACAAGCGAAGAACCUUACCAGGGCUUGACAUUCCGCUAAAAGUUCCGAGAAAUCGGGAUCUACCCACAAGGAUAGCGGAACAGGUGCUGCAUGGUUGUCGUCAGCAGGUGCCGUGAGGUGCUCCCUUAAAUGGGGAAACCUGCGCAACCCUUGCCCCGCGUUUCAAGUGUCGCGGGGGACCGCCCCGCCUUGAGCGCAUUUACAAUAAAGCGAAGUGCGUUGAGGGCGGGGAGGAAGGCGAGGACGACGCCAAAUCAGCAUGGCCCUUAUGUCCUGGGCUGCACACGUGGUACAAUGGCCGGUCCAAUGGGUUUGCCAAGUCGUAAGACGGAGCUAAUCCCAUCAAAACCGGUCUCAGUUCGGAUUGAGGUCUGCAACUCGACCUCAUGAAGCUGGAAUCGCUAGUAAUCGCGGAUCAGCCACGCC